Long non-coding RNA from Eriocheir sinensis (Chinese mitten crab), 380 nucleotides. RefSeq lists it as uncharacterized. The transcript is spliced from 2 exons. The record is from RefSeq and is a predicted model, not a curated record. Lineage: Eukaryota; Metazoa; Arthropoda; Malacostraca; Decapoda; Varunidae.
UCAGCUGACAGUUCGGAAGUAAUAAAGUCUAAGGAAAAAGGAAAGAAAUCAGUUGUCUAUAGUGUUGAAGUUGAAAGAAAUCGAGUCGAGAUGGUUCAUAAGCUCCCGAUACUAGGAAUAAGCUGACUCAUGUAAACAGUCCCGUGGCGUCGUGUGGUUGGCUUGUUGUGCCGCCGCUGCUGCUGAGAGCCGUGAUAACGCUGCUGACGGGGCGGGACGGUGCCGGGAUUGCGUCACGGCUUUGGGAGGUCUCCCUGGUGGAUGACUCCCUCGUGGCCGCCGGAGUCCUGGUGCCGGAAGCUUCCCUUGAGCAUGUAGGUGAUGGUCUGGAUGCCGCGGUGGGGGUGCUCAGGGAAGCCCGCGGGGUGGCGCACCGAAAA